GACGAACGCUGGCGGCGUGCUUAACACAUGCAAGUCGAACGAUGAAGCCUAGCUUGCUAGGUGGAUUAGUGGCGAACGGGUGAGUAAUACGUGAGUAACCUACCUUUAACUCUGGGAUAAGCCUGGGAAACUGGGUCUAAUACCGGAUACGACCAAUCUCCGCAUGGGGUGUUGGUGGAAAGCGUUAUGUAGUGGUUAUAGAUGGGCUCACGGCCUAUCAGCUUGUUGGUGAGGUAACGGCUCACCAAGGCGACGACGGGUAGCCGGCCUGAGAGGGUGACCGGCCACACUGGGACUGAGACACGGCCCAGACUCCUACGGGAGGCAGCAGUGGGGAAUAUUGCACAAUGGGCGCAAGCCUGAUGCAGCGACGCCGCGUGAGGGAUGACGGCCUUCGGGUUGUAAACCUCUGUUAGCAGGGAAGAAGAGAAAUUGACGGUACCUGCAGAGAAAGCGCCGGCUAACUACGUGCCAGCAGCCGCGGUAAUACGUAGGGCGCGAGCGUUGUCCGGAAUUAUUGGGCGUAAAGAGCUUGUAGGCGGUUUGUCGCGUCUGCUGUGAAGGCCGGGGCUUAACCCCGUGUAUUGCAGUGGGUACGGGCAGACUAGAGUGCAGUAGGGGAGACUGGAAUUCCUGGUGUAGCGGUGGAAUGCGCAGAUAUCAGGAGGAACACCGAUGGCGACGGCAGGUCUCUGGGCUGUAACUGACGCUGAGAAGCGAAAGCAUGGGGAGCGAACAGGAUUAGAUACCCUGGUAGUCCAUGCCGUAAACGUUGGGCACUAGGCGUGGGGGACAUUCCACGUUUUCCGCGCCGUAGCUAACGCAUUAAGUGCCCCGCCUGGGGAGUACGGCCGCAAGGCUAAAACUCAAAGAAAUUGACGGGGGCCCGCACAAGCGGCGGAGCAUGCGGAUUAAUUCGAUGCAACGCGAAGAACCUUACCAAGGCUUGACAUAUACUGGACCGCAUCAGAGAUGGUGUUUCCCUUCGGGGCUGGUAUACAGGUGGUGCAUGGUUGUCGUCAGCUCGUGUCGUGAGAUGUUGGGUUAAGUCCCGCAACGAGCGCAACCCUCGUUCUAUGUUGCCAGCACGUUAUGGUGGGGACUCAUAGGAGACUGCCGGGGUCAACUCGGAGGAAGGUGGGGAUGACGUCAAAUCAUCAUGCCCCUUAUGUCUUGGGCUUCACGCAUGCUACAAUGGCCGGUACAGAGGGUUGCGAUACUGUGAGGUGGAGCUAAUCCCUAAAAGCCGGUCUCAGUUCGGAUUGGGGUCUGCAACUCGAUCCCAUGAAGUCGGAGUCGCUAGUAAUCGCAGAUCAGCAACGCUGCGGUGAAUACGUUCCCGGGCCU
RNAcentral lists this ribosomal RNA (1347 nucleotides) under uncultured bacterium. Its description in RNAcentral is "bacterial SSU rRNA". It matches the Rfam family "Bacterial small subunit ribosomal RNA", at positions 28 to 1381 of the family's 1533-position model. The record is from RNAcentral.